UGCAAGUCGAGCGGUAGCACAGAGAGCUUGCUCUCGGGUGACGAGCGGCGGACGGGUGAGUAAUGUCUGGGAAACUGCCUGAUGGAGGGGGAUAACUACUGGAAACGGUAGCUAAUACCGCAUAACGUCGCAAGACCAAAGUGGGGGACCUUCGGGCCUCAUGCCAUCAGAUGUGCCCAGAUGGGAUUAGCUAGUAGGUGGGGUAACGGCUCACCUAGGCGACGAUCCCUAGCUGGUCUGAGAGGAUGACCAGCCACACUGGAACUGAGACACGGUCCAGACUCCUACGGGAGGCAGCAGUGGGGAAUAUUGCACAAUGGGCGCAAGCCUGAUGCAGCCAUGCCGCGUGUGUGAAGAAGGCCUUCGGGUUGUAAAGCACUUUCAGCGGGGAGGAAGGCGUUAAGGUUAAUAACCUUGUCGAUUGACGUUACCCGCAGAAGAAGCACCGGCUAACUCCGUGCCAGCAGCCGCGGUAAUACGGAGGGUGCAAGCGUUAAUCGGAAUUACUGGGCGUAAAGCGCACGCAGGCGGUCUGUCAAGUCGGAUGUGAAAUCCCCGGGCUCAACCUGGGAACUGCAUUCGAAACUGGCAGGCUAGAGUCUUGUAGAGGGGGGUAGAAUUCCAGGUGUAGCGGUGAAAUGCGUAGAGAUCUGGAGGAAUACCGGUGGCGAAGGCGGCCCCCUGGACAAAGACUGACGCUCAGGUGCGAAAGCGUGGGGAGCAAACAGGAUUAGAUACCCUGGUAGUCCACGCCGUAAACGAUGUCGAUUUGGAGGUUGUGCCCUUGAGGCGUGGCUUCCGGAGCUAACGCGUUAAAUCGACCGCCUGGGGAGUACGGCCGCAAGGUUAAAACUCAAAUGAAUUGACGGGGGCCCGCACAAGCGGUGGAGCAUGUGGUUUAAUUCGAUGCAACGCGAAGAACCUUACCUGGUCUUGACAUCCACAGAACUUUCCAGAGAUGCAUUGGUGCCUUCGGGAACUGUGAGACAGGUGCUGCAUGGCUGUCGUCAGCUCGUGUUGUGAAAUGUUGGGUUAAGUCCCGCAACGAGCGCAACCCUUAUCCUUUGUUGCCAGCGGUCCGGCCGGGAACUCAAAGGAGACUGCCAGUGAUAAACUGGAGGAAGGUGGGGAUGACGUCAAGUCAUCAUGGCCCUUACGACCAGGGCUACACACGUGCUACAAUGGCAUAUACAAAGAGAAGCGACCUCGCGAGAGCAAGCGGACCUCAUAAAGUAUGUCGUAGUCCGGAUUGGAGUCUGCAACUCGACUCCAUGAAGUCGGAAUCGCUAGUAAUCGUAGAUCAGAAUGCUACGGUGAAUACGUUCCCGGGCCUUGUACACACCGCCCGUCACACCAUGGGAGUGGGUUGCAAAAGAAGUAGGUAGCUUAACCUUCGGGAGGGCGCU
RNAcentral lists this ribosomal RNA (1406 nucleotides) under Klebsiella pneumoniae. RNAcentral describes it as "bacterial SSU rRNA". It matches the Rfam family "Bacterial small subunit ribosomal RNA". The record is from RNAcentral. Lineage: Bacteria; Pseudomonadati; Pseudomonadota; Gammaproteobacteria; Enterobacterales; Enterobacteriaceae.